UGGGCCAUCGUCCAACGGCAGGACUCUGGUUUUUGGUACCAGCUAUCUAGGUUCGAAUCCUGGUGGCCCAGCCA
RNAcentral lists this transfer RNA (74 nucleotides) under Eggerthella sp. YY7918. Its description in RNAcentral is "tRNA-Gln (TTG) (tRNA-Gln-TTG-1-1)". It matches the Rfam family "tRNA". Rfam says of the family: Transfer RNA (tRNA) molecules are approximately 80 nucleotides in length. RNAcentral also lists the same sequence under 1 other name. The record is from RNAcentral. Lineage: Bacteria; Bacillati; Actinomycetota; Coriobacteriia; Eggerthellales; Eggerthellaceae.